GUGGGUGGUCGUGGGGUUAAACACAGUGGCGUAUCUGGGCCUGACGGCGGCGACCCAUUUCGGCCGCCUGUUCAGCAUCCCGGCCGAGAUCGAGCGCGACCUGCCGCACGCGCCGCAGCUUCUGUUCAGCAUGGUGAUCGUGCUGAAGGCGGUGCUGAUGCUGUUCGGCGC
RNAcentral lists this unclassified non-coding RNA (171 nucleotides) under plant metagenome. RNAcentral's name for it is "partial contains 5.8S ribosomal RNA, internal transcribed spacer 2, and large subunit ribosomal RNA". The record is from RNAcentral.